GACGAACGCUGGCGGCGUGCUUAACACAUGCAAGUCGAGCGGAAAGGCCAUGCUUGCAGGGUACUCGAGUGGCGAACGGGUGGGUAACUCACGGGUGAUCUGCCUUGCACUUCGGGAUAAGUCUGGUCAACUAAGUCUAAUUCCGACUGGGAGACAUUUUUAGUGUGAUGGUUGGAAAGUUUUUUCGGUGUAGGAUGAGCUCGCGGCCUAUCAGCUUGUUGGUGGGGUAAUGGCCUACCGAGGCGGCGACGCGUAGCCGGCCUGAGAAGGUGGCCGGCCACAUUGGGACUGAGAUACGGCACAGACUCCGACUGGAGGCAGCAGUGGGGAAUAUUGAACAAGGGGCGCAAGCCUGAUGCAGCGACGCCGCGUGGGGGAUGACGGUCUUCGGGUUGUAAACGCCUUUCGCUAGGGACGAAGCUUUUUGUGACGGUACCUAGAGAAGAAGCACCGGCUAACUACGUG
This 465-nucleotide ribosomal RNA is filed under the name uncultured bacterium. Its description in RNAcentral is "partial 16S ribosomal RNA". It matches the Rfam family "Bacterial small subunit ribosomal RNA", at positions 28 to 507 of the family's 1533-position model. The record is from RNAcentral.